GCUUAGGGGUCGGUGGUGGCCGCCCAGUGCACUGUGCGCAGCGUGGCCCUGGCCGUGGGGUCCGGACACUCCAGGCGUCUGUGGAUUCGUAGUCUUUUGUUGGGUUUCCUCUUAGUGCCUAGGCCUCGUCUCCUUUAAAAGUAAGAUGGCUUUGUAGAAGUACCCGCACAAGCUCCUCCCCGUGUGUGAAGCACUAAGAAACACACCCAACUGCCGGCGAUUCCCACUGCCUGAAAAAGGUUGAAUUAUCAGCAACUUUUCUGAAUGGCAGAAACGGAGAAGCCCAGGUCUACUUCCGCCCUGGACGUUACAACUACUGGGGGGCCGUCCCACUGAGAGCCCGCCUUUGAGUCCGACUUCUCAACAGGCUAAGUGCCCAAACUUCUCACUUCCCCAAGUGAGGCUGCCAGACGAGGCGUGUCAAAGGGCUCCCGCCCCUCCUCCGCCACCUGCUGUGGAAUCAGCGGUUUCCUAGGAGACCACCUAAGAAAGGACCAGGAUUCUGCCAGGAUUCUGUCAUUUGAGCCUCGUUCUCGGACCCCACUCCCCACCCCCACCGGAGCCUGCUCUCUAAGUCGCUGGGGCCUGAAAUUCUGAGUGUCCCCCGUACUGUGGUCCCUCCGAGCGCGGCGUUAAUAAUUCUUACACCUAACAACCCACUUCAGUGUCCCCCCCUUGAGCCUGUUUUUUUUUUUUUCCCCAGGGAUAUACUCCAGCAAGGAGUUAGACUUGGUUUUCUUUUUUAACUGUUUGAGCCAUAAAGGGGCUUGUGGGAGCCAGCCAUGAUAAGCUAAAUAGAAACAGACCACCCAAAGGAAGUUCUUUACUUCCAACCAUUAUCACGGGCCAGAAUAGGACUCAGCCAUCGAUAAGUUUAAUAAAGGCCUGAAUCUCAGUAGGUUGCUGAUAAACUAAGAUUACCUGAGCACCACCCAAGAACAGACCAUCCAAAAGAAAUGCCUUUACACCUUACAUUCCAACCGCUGUAGACAGGACCACCUUCCAGCACACACUCACCAGGACACCCCUAGACAAAUAAAUGUCAGUCAAUCAGGGGUCCUGAACCUCAGAAAUCCCGCAUUCCCACCUUUACUACUAUAAAAACCCAACUCUAACUGAGCUCGGGGCUUUCCGUUUGUUCCAAUACAUUGGACAUGCGGAGAGGCGGAGUUUGCAAACUUGCAUAAAAUAAAGGCUCUUUAUAUACGGGA
Long non-coding RNA from Alexandromys fortis (reed vole), 1211 nucleotides. RefSeq lists it as uncharacterized. The record is from RefSeq and is a predicted model, not a curated record. The transcript has 2 exons. Lineage: Eukaryota; Metazoa; Chordata; Mammalia; Rodentia; Cricetidae.